RNAcentral lists this ribosomal RNA (344 nucleotides) under uncultured eukaryote. RNAcentral's name for it is "SSU rRNA". It matches the Rfam family "Eukaryotic small subunit ribosomal RNA", at positions 567 to 937 of the family's 1831-position model. The record is from RNAcentral.
CCAGCAGCCGCGGUAAUUCCAGCUCCGCAAGUGUAUUCCUAUACUGUUGCGUUUAAGUAGCUCGUAGUUGGAUCUGCGUGUUUAGCGCGUGGUGUCACUUUUUGUGACUACUGCAGUGCGACACAAAGCGCCGAACACUCUUAAGAGUGGUUGGCCAGUUUACUUUGAACAAAUCAGAGUGCUCAAAACGGGCGUUUCGCUCGAAUGUUCUUGCAUGGAAUAAUGGAAUAGGACCGCGCGUUCUAUUUUGUUGGUUUUCGGGACGCGGGUAAUGAUUAAGAGGGACAGACGGGGGCAUUUGUACUGCGACGUGAGAGGUGAAAUUCUUGGAUCGUCGCAAGACA